Molecule: ribosomal RNA, 264 nt
Filed under: uncultured bacterium
Lineage: Bacteria
Description: partial 16S ribosomal RNA
Rfam family: Bacterial small subunit ribosomal RNA
Source: RNAcentral
GCAAGUCGUACGUGAAAGCUUCCUUCGGGAAGUGAUUAAAGUGGCGCACGGGUGAGUAACACGUGGAUAAUCUACCCGAAAGUCAGGGAUAACAUUUCGAAAGGCAUGUUAAUAGCUGAUAAGCCUACGCCAUCCUCGGAGGAAGUAGGAAAAGGUGGGGACCUUCGGGCCUGCCGUUGUUGGAUAGGUCCGCGGCCCAUUAGCUAGUUGGUAGGGUAAUGGCCUACCAAGGCUACGAUGGGUAGCUGGUCUGAGAGGAUGAUC